UACGAAGGGGGCGAGCGUUGUUCGGAGUUACUGGGCGUAAAGGGCGCGUAGGCGGCGAUCCAAGUUAGGCGUGAAAGCCCCGGGCUUAACCUGGGAAUUGCGCUUAAGACUGGACUGCUUGAGUGUUGCAGGGGAGACUGGAAUUCCUGGUGUAGCGGUGAAAUGCGCAGAUAUCAGGAGGAACACCGGUGGCGAAGGCGGGUCUCUGGGCAACAACUGACGCUGAGGAGCGAAAGCGUGGGGAGCGAACAGG
RNAcentral lists this ribosomal RNA (253 nucleotides) under uncultured bacterium. RNAcentral's name for it is "partial 16S ribosomal RNA". It matches the Rfam family "Bacterial small subunit ribosomal RNA", at positions 524 to 776 of the family's 1533-position model. The record is from RNAcentral.